ACGAACGCUGGCGGCGUGCCUAAUCCCUGCAAGUAGAACGCACAGUUUAUACCGUAGCUUGCUACACCAUAAACUGUGAGUUGCGAACGGGUGAGUAACGCGUAGGUAACCUGCCUGGUAGCGGGGGAUAACUAUUGGAAACGAUAGCUAAUACCGCAUAAUAUUGAUUAUUGCAUGAUAAUUGAUUGAAAGAUGCUAUUGCAUCACUACCAGAUGGACCUGCGUUGUAUUAGCUAGUAGGUGAGGUAACGGCUCACCUAGGCGACGAUACAUAGCCGACCUGAGAGGGUGAUCGGCCACACUGGGACUGAGACACGGCCCAGACUCCUACGGGAGGCAGCAGUAGGGAAUCUUCGGCAAUGGACGAAAGUCUGACCGAGCAACGCCGCGUGAGUGAAGAAGGUUGUCGGAUCGUAAAGCUCGGUUGUAAGAGAAGAACGGGUGUGAGAGUGGAAAGUUCACACUGUGACGGUAUCUUACCAGAAAGGGACGGCUAACUACGUG
Molecule: ribosomal RNA, 504 nt
Filed under: uncultured bacterium
Lineage: Bacteria
Description: partial 16S ribosomal RNA
Rfam family: Bacterial small subunit ribosomal RNA
Source: RNAcentral